Molecule: ribosomal RNA, 452 nt
Filed under: uncultured bacterium
Lineage: Bacteria
Description: bacterial SSU rRNA
Rfam family: Bacterial small subunit ribosomal RNA
Source: RNAcentral
UACGGGAGGCAGCGGUGGGGAAUAUUGCACAAUGGGCGCAAGCCUGAUGCAGCCAUGCCGCGUGUAUGAAGAAGGCCUUCGGGUUGUAAAGUACUUUCAGUCGUGAGGAAGGUGUUAAGGUUAAUAACCUUAGCAAUUGACGUUAGCGACAGAAGAAGCACCGGCUAACUCCGUGCCAGCAGCCGCGGUAAUACGGAGGGUGCGAGCGUUAAUCGGAAUUACUGGGCGUAAAGGGCACGCAGGCGGUUAAUUAAGUUGGAUGUGAAAUCCCCGGGCUUAACCUGGGAAUGGCAUUCAAGACUGGUUAGCUAGAGUCUUGUAGAGGGGGUAGAAUUCCAUGUGUAGCGGUGAAAUGCGUAGAGAUGUGGAGGAAUACCGGUGGCGAAGGCGGCCCCUGGACAAAGACUGACGCUCAUGUGCGAAAGCGUGGGGAGCAAACGAGGGAUUAGAUA